This 621-nucleotide long non-coding RNA is filed under the name Ananas comosus (pineapple). Its description in RNAcentral is "long non-coding RNA (ACOM_LNC015484)". Lineage: Eukaryota; Viridiplantae; Streptophyta; Magnoliopsida; Poales; Bromeliaceae. The record is from RNAcentral.
ACUAUCUUUAUUUCCUCUAAUUGGUUAUUUUGAAAAAGGUAUUCAGAUCGGCAAAGCAUUAUUUGAAUAUAUCUGCUCUAACAAUAAUAAAAAUUUAGCAAAAGUACAUACUUUUGUUCUUGACACUAUAUGGCGGAUGACACUUUCAUUCUUAAAUCUUAAUUUGUUAUAAUCUCUUGCUCGAAUUUUUUUAAUUAACAAAAUAAAUUCUACACUAAUUAACUUAAGUAAAAGAUGAGGUGCCAAUUUUAGUCAUUUCCCACAAUACGAUACUACUAGAGACUAGGGAUGUCAUUGGGUAUGGAUACCCGAAAUUUUAUCCGAACCCGAAUCCGAAUGAAAUGGAUAUAUCCGAAGGAUAUGGAUAUGGAUUCGGAUAUGGAUUUCAAAAAUAGAAACCCGACGGAUAUGGAUUCGGAUAUGGAUGUUGAUUGUACCCGACCCGAACCCAAACCCGAACCCGACCCGAACCCAAAUUUAUUUUGUAUUAUAUAUAAUAUAUAUAUAAAAAUUUGAUGUUAUAUUUGAAUUUGUAUUUUAAAAAUUUAGGUUUAAUAUAAUAUAUUUUGAAAUAUUGAAAAAAGAAAUAAUUGUUUCGGAUUCAAAUUUUCGGGUUCGGGU